UACGUAGGGGGCAAGCGUUGUCCGGAAUCAUUGGGCGUAAAGAGCGUGUAGGCGGCUCGGUAAGUCCGCUGUGAAAGUCCAGGGCUCAACCCUGGAAUGCCGGUGGAAACUGUCGAGCUAGAGUCCGGAAGAGGCGAGUGGAAUUCCUGGUGUAGCGGUGAAGUGCGCAGAUAUCAGGAGGAACACCAAUGGCGAAGGCAGCUCGCUGGGACGGUACUGACGCUGAGACGCGAAAGCGUGGGGAGCAAACAGG
Molecule: ribosomal RNA, 253 nt
Filed under: uncultured bacterium
Lineage: Bacteria
Description: partial 16S ribosomal RNA
Rfam family: Bacterial small subunit ribosomal RNA
Source: RNAcentral